GUUCCAUAGGGCUCUGGCAAGUAGUGCACUAUAUAGGGAAUAGGGUUCCAUAGGGCUCUGGUCAAUAGUAGUGCACGACAGAAAGAUGCCUUUUUGGGACACUGACCAGUUGGUCAUGUAUGUGCCUCCUUUAGUAAAUGCUAAAGUUAAAAUAAACAAAACGUCAUAUUGUACAAGAACAACCAAUUGAUGUUGAUUUGUAAAUAUGCUUCUUCUGCUUUCUGAGCUGUUUGUUUUGACUGUGAUAAUGAUGGCGUGUUGGUUUUUUCUAUUGUGUUUAUGUCCAGUGUCUCUCCUACAGUACGUGAGUCCUGUUAUAGCUGGUAACGUGGAAUAGAGAAGUGGUUCUGUGGCCGUACAUAAACGGCCUGCCCUAUUCCCUAUUUAACUGCACUACUUUAGACCAGGGCCCUAUGGGUCGUGGUCAAAAGGUAGUGUGCACUAUGUAGGGAAUAAGGUGCAUUUUGGGGUCCAUCCUCAAUCUGUCCUGCUCCACAGAGGUCAGGGACCUGUUGGGAUCCAUCCUCAAUCUGUCCUGCUCCUCAGAGGUCAGGGGCCUGUUGGGAUCCAUCCUCAAUCUGUCCUGCUCCUCAGAGGUCAGGGGCCUGUUGGGAUCCAUCCUCAAUCUGUCCUGCUCCUCAGAGGUCAGGGGCCUGUUGGGAUCCAUCCUCAAUCUGUCCUGCUCCUCAGAGGUCAGGGGCCUGUUGGGAUCCAUCCUCAAUCUGUCCUGCUCCUCAGAGGUCAGGGGCCUGUUGGGAUCCAUCCUCAAUCUGUCCUGCUCCUCAGAGGUCAGGGGCCUGUUGGGAUCCAUUCCAAUUGAACUUGGUCAAUUCAGGAAAUAAACUGAUAUUCCAAUUCAAUAAUUAAAAUUAUUUCUAAAAUAACCUGAAAACGAGAAGCUAUUUAUUUCAAAAGUUUUUCCAUCUUUUAAUUAGGAAUCAGAUGGUGUUAGAGUGGAGGAGGGGGUUCAGAAAGGUUUUUCCAUCUGUUAAUUAGGAAUCAGAUGGUGUUAGAGUGGAGGAGGGGGGUUCAGAAAGGUUUUUCCUCUGUUAAUGCUGUCAUCUAGAUGAUCUGUUGUAUCCAGUUUAAAUGAAUCCAUGUGUCAGCGCGUGUUGACGGACGACCGAGGCACCACCUGUGCUCGUGUUGAAAAAGUAUUUGGUUUUAAAUAUACAGAAGUAUAAAAAGUUAAUAUAAUUGCUAAAAUAUACUUAAGUAUCAAAAGUAAAAGUUUAAAUCAUUUAAAAUUCUUUAUAUUAAGCAAAUCAGACGGCAGCAUUUUCUUGUUUUUUAAAAUGUUAUUUACAGACAUAAUUUACAAACUAGUGAGUCCACCAGAUCAGAGGCAGUAGGGAGGACCAGGGAUGUUCUCUGUUUAGUGAGUCCUCCAGAUCAGAGGCAGUAGGGAGGACCAGGGAUGUUCUCUGUUUAGUGAGUCCUCCAGAUCAGAGGCAGUAGGGAUGACUAGGGAUGUUCUCUGUUUAGUGAGUCUGCCAGAUCAGAGGCAGUAGAGAUGACCAGGGAUGAUCUCUGUUUAGUGAGUCCUCCAGAUCAGAGGCAGUAGGGACGACCAGGGAUGUUCUCUGUUUAGUGAGUCCUCCAGAUCAGAGGCAGUAGGGAUGACCAGGGAUGUUCUCUGUUUAGUGAGUCCUCCAGAUCCGAGGCAGUAGGGAUGACCAGGGAUGUUCUCUGUUUAGUGAGUCCUCCAGAUCAGAGGCAGUAGGGAUGACCAGGGAUGUUCUCUGUUUAGUGAGUCCUCCAGACCAGAGGCAGUAGAGAUGACCAGGGAUGUUCUCUUGAUAAGUGUAUAAAUUAGACUAUUUUCCUGUCCUGCUAAACAUUCAAAAUGUACUUUUGGCUGUCAGGGAAAACGUAUGGAGUAAAAAGUACAUUUUCUUUAGGAAUGUAGUGAAGUAAAAGUUGUAAAAUAUAAAUAAAGUACAGAUACCCAGAAAACAUUUUACUGAAGCACUUUACACCACUGGUGUACAUUGAAUGUGUAUUUUACAUUUGUGAAAUUAUUUCGAUGUGAUAUGAAAGUAAAGGGGGUUUGUGUCUCUAGAACUGUAUCACAAUUGAGAAGCUGAUUCAUGUUUAGACGGAGUAUUUGUCUGUUUUUGGCUUCCAGAGCCAGUCUACCUCUGAAAAUAACAUAAUGGCCUUGGACCUUAAAGAGUAACCUUAGGCCUCUUUAAUAAGAGGUCAUCUUGGGUUAGAACUGGGCCCUGUUGUAAAUCUGGCACCACUACCACCAUCCUCCACAUCUCAACCCUGGAACAGCGUGAAAGGAGGGGAGAGUUCUGGACACCGAGGCCCCUCCGUGAGACUGUUUGGACUGCAUGAGAAGGGUCACAAAGCACCUCUGUUUCCAGGGGCUGUAGAGGACACCUCUACUGCUUCAGCAACACUUGGACGUCCCGCUCUAUUCAAUUUAAACAAAAGUUUGUCCUUCCUUCCUGUCUGUUUUUUUGUGCGGUUUGAAGUGAGACUUCUUUGAAACAGACUGACGAUAACCAGUUUUCUUUGUGUAUAGUUAUGGAUGUGCUAUAAUUUUUCUGAUUAUGCCACAACGUAAUAUUGAGAUUUUACAUUGUGUUUUUUUUUUU
This 2606-nucleotide long non-coding RNA is filed under the name Salmo salar (Atlantic salmon). Its description in RNAcentral is "lncRNA (ENSSSAG00000114977.1)". Lineage: Eukaryota; Metazoa; Chordata; Actinopteri; Salmoniformes; Salmonidae. The record is from RNAcentral.